Long non-coding RNA from Heterocephalus glaber (naked mole-rat), 1751 nucleotides. The record is from Ensembl. Lineage: Eukaryota; Metazoa; Chordata; Mammalia; Rodentia; Bathyergidae.
CACAAACGGUGGCCGCGCACCGCCCCCCCCCCCCGCCCCCGGGGAGACUGGGGGGGGGAUCUGGACGCCUCGCUAAGGGGAGGGGAGAGAAAGGGGCGACGGGGGACACUUCCCCCUUCCCGGCAAGAAAGUUCGAGCAGGGAACGGGAGAACUCGCCGGUUUUCGACACUUUUUUCAAGGCGCCGGGACGGGGGUUGGGAGGUGUUGCUAACUCAAGUCAGAUGAGCUGCGGAGCUCAGGAGCUCUGACUGCUCUGUUUUCAAUCUCUGAAAUCCCCCCGCCCUCCCCACUCCUCCUUCCCUCCGCCCGGAGAUGCCCCGGUCGCUGUUCCCUGGGCGCCCGCUUCUCCAGGCGCCGGGGCGGAAGCCAGGAUCGAGAAGGAAGGGAGGCAGGGGCUCGGUCCACGCGGACCCUCUUCCUGCUGGCGGCGAACGCAGGUGCCAGGGGUCAUGCUGCGCCCCCCUUAGCGGCUCGCGCAAGUUGCCUGCGGAGCGCAUGUUGGCGAGAAACGAAGCAGCCUUCUGGGUUUGGUGCAUAUGUUUUCUAAGGAGGGUUUUUGUUUUGUUUUGUUUUUUUGGAGACUCCACUAGAGCGGCUGCAGCCAGAUGGAAGUAAUCAGAACCCAACAACGGAGAGAGGGUAGAAAAACCCUCGCUGAAUUUUCGGGCCAAAGUGUGGAUGGGACUAUGUGUCAAAAAACUUGCUUGAGCUAACUGGAGGAGUCCUGGGACCUCCAGCCACCCCACAGCCCAGAACUGGCCGCCCGACUUGGAGAAGGAGGAGGGCCGCUGGCUAGAGUGCCCUCCCAAGGCCUCCAAGGCUCCGGAAUCAUCCCAACAGUGCCUUGUGAGAGAUUUUUUAAUAUUUCUAUUUAACGUUUGCAGGACACUUAAAGCCAAGUGAUACGGUUCUAAUUUCCUUUGUAUUAUUUAACCUUGUCGCCUCUGAGAGGUAGUCUCUGCUCCCCCUGCACAGCUGAGAAGACUGAGGUUUAAGGAAAUGGAGGGACUUGUCCAAGACCAACUCAACUCCUGCUGGAAUCCAGACACUCACAGAACCUUUCCCGGAUUAUUUUGGCAAAAAAGAUGACUGUGGAGAAGAUGGAAUGUUUUCAGUGCCGAGGAGAGGCUGUGUGGGCACACAGCACAAAGGCAGCUGCUUACAAGAGGCCCCACUUAAGAACAAACCUGCUGGCACCUCCACCUGGACCACCCAGCCUCACACAGUGAGGAACAAAUGACAGUGUUUCAGCCCCCCAGUCUAGGCUUUUCUUACAGCAGCCUGAGCUAAAACAGAACCCAGAACAUGGUCAUGUCAGAAAGGUGUGGGCAGCAUCAAACACAUCCAUAAUUAUGUCAGAGGACUCCGGAUGCAUUCAAAGGAUUUCCGGGCCCAGGGAUUUAGCUCAGUGGUGCCACCACCUGCCUUGCAAGCGCAAGGUACUGAUUUCGAUUCCGGAUACCAGAAAACAAAAAACAAAAAAAAAGGAUUUCCCCCACCAACUAUGAGAUAUGUGCGUUUCCAUGAGACUAAUAAUGCCAAUGAAUUAAAACACAUCAAGUCAGGUGUGGUGGCACAUGCCUGUAAUCCUUGCUACUUGGAUAGCUGAGGCAUGAAGAUCUCUACUUUGAGACAGUUUGGGCAACUUGGCAAGGUCCUAUCUGAAAUUAAAAAUAAAAAGGGCUAGAGAUGUAGCUCAGUGGUAGAGCUCUUGCUUAGCAUGCACAAGAACCUUAGCUUUAAUCUCUAG